This is a long non-coding RNA of Episyrphus balteatus (marmalade hoverfly), 970 nucleotides long. RefSeq lists it as uncharacterized. The record is from RefSeq and is a predicted model, not a curated record. NCBI's taxonomy places the organism in Eukaryota, Metazoa, Arthropoda, Insecta, Diptera, Syrphidae. The transcript is spliced from 3 exons.
CACCCCUGCUUUUUCGAAAAAAUAAAUUUCAACCAUCAAGAAGGGGAGCAGUGUCAUUUCUCUUCUUAUAAAUGUAUGGAAAGUAGAAAUUAUUCGACUAAGUUGAGACAUAUAAGCCAUACAAAUUCAACAAUUCAUGGGUAUACGAAACGAUCACAGUAAAAAGCAAACAAAGAACAGACAUAAGAAAAAGAUAAUCACCUCACAUUCUUUAAAAAACAAAACAAAAAAAAUAAAACAAACAAAAUAUUCCAUGAUUACUCUGAGUCAUUCAUAGAUCUUCGAACCCGGCGAAGGACUUGAAACAUUCUUUUACCCAAAAAAGCUGUUAGGAAUUUGACAAAUCAAGUUAAAAAAUAAAAAUAACCUACUUAAAAUUAUGAUAUUUUGCUUGUUUGUUUUUUUUUUAUUGUUUGUUAUUUAGCUCUCUUCCCGAUCGACAUUCUAGAGAGAGAUCAAUAACAUUUCUAAUUCGAACUGCGUAUAAUUAUUAUGAGAAAGCGACGACAGCGUGCACUAACCUUAAACGAGAUUGCGAGAUGAUAAGAAAUCAAUUUCACUUGAAAAUUGAUAACAAACAAAGUGGACAAAAAAACGAAUCUCAUAAUAAGCAACUUUCUGAAGCUAAAUUAACACAACAACAUUUUGCAAACAAAACAAAGAAAUGCCAGGAGUGACUUUGCAAAAUUAGUUUACUUAUUUUGGACCAACUUGGAGGAGCACGCUGCACAGCUCCACGACAGAGCAACCAGCAAAUAAUAACCACCACGCAUUUAUUUGCUAUCCACAAGAAACAAAAAAAAAAGAAAUUCCAAGAAUACACUUUUUCCACCACCGACGACGGACUACGAAGACGGAAGAACGAAAAAACAGACGACGACUGUUUUUUUUUUUAUUUUGCUUGGAGGACGGAGGAGUCUCAAAACGCACAUGAAAAUUAAAGUUUUUAAAAAAAGAUUUCGAUUAAACU